This 406-nucleotide ribosomal RNA is filed under the name uncultured bacterium. RNAcentral describes it as "partial 16S ribosomal RNA". It matches the Rfam family "Bacterial small subunit ribosomal RNA", at positions 30 to 526 of the family's 1533-position model. The record is from RNAcentral.
AUUGAACGCUGGCGGCAGGCCUAACACAUGCAAGUCGAGCGAGCGGCGGACGGGUGAGUAAUGUCUGGGAAACUGCCUGAUGGAGGGGGAUAACUACUGGAAACGGUAGCUAAUACCGCAUACCAUCAGACGUGCCCAGAGGGGAUGAGCUAGUAGGUGGGGUAACGGCUCACAUAGCCGACGAUCCCUAGCUGGUCUGAGAGUAUGACCAGCCACACUGGGACUGAGACACGUUCCAGACUCCUACGGGCGGCAGCAUUUGGGAAUAUUGCACAAUGGGCGCAAGCCUGAUGCAGCCAUGCCGCGUGUGUGAAGAAGGCCUUCGGGUUGUAAAGCACUUUCGGCGGGGAGGCGUUACCCGCAGAAGAAGCACCGGCUAACUCCGUGCCAGCAGCCGCGGUAAUAC